AUAAGACUCUGGAAACUACGUCGUAUUAAAUAUUGCGUUCAGAACAUUGACAAACAUCCUUGCGUUUCGAAUUUUACCUUUCGAAAAACCAGAGCCUCAAGCGAUCUCCCCGUACAGCCUGCAAUGAGUGAAAUCAGGAGACGAACAUCCUUGCAUUCUCUACUGUUAUUCUUCUCCAUUUCUAUACAAUACCUCUCCGCCUUGGCCAAUGACACUUCAAAUUCAAAACAGGGGAACCAAGCUGAAAGUCAUGCUACUUCCGGUAGCAAAACUGGGGCCAAGGUACUAAUUGUCUUACUUGCAGUUGUGGCAGUGGGUUUGUUUUCUUUUUUCCUUUUCAAGCUAUGGCAAAAGAAGAAAAGAGAAGAGCAAUAUGCUCGUCUUUUGAAGUUGUUUGAGGAGGAUGAUGAGCUUGAGGUUGAACUUGGCCUCCGGGACUGACACAUUUUACUUGUAGAAACCAAUUUCCUUUUAUUUCAGGCUUAAGUGUCAUGUGAUAUUCGGAAAACUUGGUCCAUUGGUGGCCCUGAUUGGGAUAUGGAGAUAUCCUGUGGUGAGAUUAAGUAUUGUGCUUUUUUAGUAUCUAUGAUGAUUAUAUUCAAACGACAAAUAUUAAUGAAUUUAAUUGCUUUGUUGUUAGAGAAAGGAAGAACACCAUUAUGAGAUUUUUUUGGGGGUGGUCACAUUUUGUAAAAAUAAACUCAAUAUUCAUUUACAUGUGUAAAAGUAUUUAAUAUUUAGAUAUAUUGAAAAAGUGUAAAACUGAAGGGUUAUGUCGGUGUGCCUUGCAGCUGCUUAAAAGGCAUAUGCAAUGCCCAUUAUUUGUUUGCUUCAAUAAAAAAUGAAAUAUAACUCUUGUUAAAAAAA
Molecule: long non-coding RNA, 867 nt
Organism: Mangifera indica (mango)
Lineage: Eukaryota; Viridiplantae; Streptophyta; Magnoliopsida; Sapindales; Anacardiaceae
Exons: 3
Source: RefSeq, a predicted model, not a curated record